AGAGUUUGAUCAUGGCUCAGGAUGAACGCUGGCGGCGUGCCUAACACAUGCAAGUCGAACGGAGUUUAUAUUAUGAAGUUUUCGGAUGGAAUGAUAUAAACUUAGUGGCGGACGGGUGAGUAACGCGUGGGUAACCUGCCUCAUACAGGGGGAUAACAGUUGGAAACGACUGCUAACACCGCAUAAGCAUACAGUAUCGCAUGAUACAGUGUGAAAAUAUUUAUAGGUAUGAGAUGGGCCCGCGUCUGAUUAGCUAGUUGGUGAGGUAAAGGCUCACCAAGGCGACGAUCAGUAGCCGGCUUGAGAGAGUGACCGGCCACAUUGGGACUGAGACACGGCCCAAACUCCUACGGGAGGCAGCAGUGGGGAAUAUUGCACAAUGGGGGAAACCCUGAUGCAGCGACGCCGCGUGAGUGAAGAAGUAUUUCGGUAUGUAAAGCUCUAUCAGCAGGGAAGAAAAUGACGGUACCUGACUAAGAAGCCCCGGCUAACUACGUGCCAGCAGCCGCGGUAAUACGUAGGGGGCAAGCGUUAUCCGGAUUUACUGGGUGUAAAGGGAGCGUAGGUGGUGCGGUAAGUCAGAUGUGAAAACCCGGGGCUCAACUCCGGGACUGCAUUUGAAACUAUCGAACUAGAGUGCAGGAGAGGUAAGUGGAAUUCCUAGUGUAGCGGUGAAAUGCGUAGAUAUUAGGAGGAACACCAGUGGCGAAAGCGGCUUACUGGACUGUAACUGACACUGAGCUCGAAAGCGUGGGGAGCAAACAGGAUUAGAUACCCUGUAGUCCACGCCGUAAACGAUGAAUACUAGGUGUUGGGGGCCAAAAGGCUCUCGGUG
RNAcentral lists this ribosomal RNA (835 nucleotides) under uncultured bacterium. Its description in RNAcentral is "bacterial SSU rRNA". It matches the Rfam family "Bacterial small subunit ribosomal RNA", at positions 8 to 845 of the family's 1533-position model. The record is from RNAcentral.